UAGUCCUGACUUUAACUUGACUUUCCAAGUUUUCCUCCUCCACACAUUUUUUUCUUUUGGUUUUGAAGUUACUUUUGUUUCGUGUGGUGGUAUGCCCUAACUCCUGACACCCACCCACGUGAGAGAAAGUAUAGUACGAGCCACUCUCUCUCCCCCACUUUCACUCUUUCAUUUCAGAUUUUCAGCCAUUGUCUUGGGUUUUGACAAUCACAUUGCCCAAACUCGCUAGUCUCCACCACAAAUGCCCCCACAUUGGAUUUCUUGCCAUCACUUUUGAGUCGCGAACUAUGCCAACAACGACAGUUUUCGCCAUUAAAAGUCCACCUCCUCCCUCAUUGUAAACUAUAAACAGAUAGUAUCAAACCAGCAGAGCUAUCACCAUCCCUUUUCUCUCUUGUCCUCAUCAGCCGAAUCUCACUCAGAUCGUUAAGCUAUUUGAACUAAAAGAAUGUGGGUUAGAAAUAAGAUAAAUCCCAGGCAAAGAAUGAAAAUGAGUCCGAGAGAGUUCAAAGAUGUCGAUCUACGCACCAGCCGAUAAUAUGUUGGAAUUGGGGGACUAGGAAAAAAGGGUCAUACUACUUGGUGGAUUCGGGCCUAUUAAUUGGCACUAGUUUUCUCUGCCCUUACAAGUCAACUAGGUACCAUACUCAGGAGUUUCGCUCAAGCAAUAGACGGCCAACACUGAAGAAAGAGUUGUAUAACUAUAGGUAGUCAUCCUUGUGGAUGGUUAUUGAGCGAUCUUUUGGAGUGCUGAAGGCUCGUUCCUCCAUUUUGAAUUUAAUACCAAACUUCAAGCGAAGUAGGCAGCGUUACGUCAUUGUUAUGCACUAUGCUCUACACAAUUUCAUACGCAUUAAUAAUCGAUGUGAUGAAUUGUUUAGCACAAUAAGAAGAGUGUUGUCAAAGGCAAUGAGACUAAUAUUGAAGGCAGUGGCGAUACUGGAGCAUCAACAAGCUUAGCAACCCAAAGGCAUGUAGUGGAAAUGUUAGAUGCAUUGAAGAGACUGAUGGCCUAAUUUAAGGACGAUAUUACUGACGCAAUGUGGGAUGAUUAUGUUGCAUGUGGCAAUUGACCAUUUACUUUGUUGCAAUUUAGAUACUAUCAUUUUGCAAUGUAAUUGUUUUGGUACUACUUUAUGUCAUGGAAUUACUGUUUACGUAAGCGGAUGUAGAACUUAGUUAAACUUGUAACGUUACUGCACUAUUUUGGAAUGACAUGACAACGUGUAGAGACACGGGUUGCAAUA
This is a long non-coding RNA of Quercus robur (English oak), 1247 nucleotides long. RefSeq lists it as uncharacterized. Lineage: Eukaryota; Viridiplantae; Streptophyta; Magnoliopsida; Fagales; Fagaceae. The record is from RefSeq and is a predicted model, not a curated record. The transcript is spliced from 4 exons.